Small nuclear RNA from Hippopotamus amphibius kiboko, 104 nucleotides. Lineage: Eukaryota; Metazoa; Chordata; Mammalia; Artiodactyla; Hippopotamidae. The record is from RefSeq and is a predicted model, not a curated record.
GUGCUUGCUUCUGCAGGACAUAUGCUAACAUUGGACCAUUCAGAGAGGAUGAGCAUUGCCCCUGCGCAAGAUGACAGGCAAAUUCUUGAAGGUUCCAUAUUUUU